RNA transcript from Cervus elaphus (red deer), 1770 nucleotides. It is a transcript of the gene named serine/arginine-rich splicing factor 3-like, with no coding region annotated. The transcript has a single exon. Lineage: Eukaryota; Metazoa; Chordata; Mammalia; Artiodactyla; Cervidae. The record is from RefSeq and is a predicted model, not a curated record.
GAGUUAUGUAUCAUCAGGCUUGAAAUCAACAGGGACACGCCCACAAAUGUGCUCUGCAGUGCAGUGACAAAGCAUGAUGAAUUAUUUCUUUUAUAGUGAUGCUUGUAGGGAUGAGAAGGCAGAGCCCCUACAGCAGAACUGUUGCAAACUGCCCUGCUUGGCCUUGUAUCUUUCCAAGCAACCCGUCCUUCUGUGUCAAGGUUGUGUAGCUGCGCUCCUAGGCUAGUAUAGACAAGGCUUUGCCUGCAGAUGGCUAGAAUUUGCAUGGAUAAAUCAGAAUAGUAUUUGUAUGGAUAAUGCAGAAACAAGAGGCUUUCUUUUUGCCAGAUAGGAUUCCUUAGAAGAGACAGUAUCGGCCAUUUCAUGGACGCUGGGUGUGCCAGAGCAUCUGGGAACGCCAGGCGGGAGGGGAUGGAGAAGACCUAGCCUAGGUUCUGUGGAUUUGAACCUCCGCAUUUCUAACCCAAGAUCUCGAAAUGCAUCGUGAUUCCUGUCCAUUGGACUGUAAAGUUUAUGUAGGUAAUCUUGGAAACAAUGGUAACAAGACUGAAUUGGAACAAGGUUUUGGCUAUUAUGGACCACUUCGAAGUGUGUGGGUUGCUAGAAACCCUCCUGGCUUUGCUUUUGUUGAAUUUGAAGAUCCCCGAGAUGCAGCUGAUGCUGUCCGAGAGCUAGAUGGGAGAACACUGUGUGGCUGCCAAGUAAGAGUGGAACUAUCGAUGGUGAAAAGAGAAGUCGUAAUCGUGGCCCACUUCCUUCUUGGGGUCAUCGCCCUCGAUAUGAUUAUCUGAGGAGGAGUCCUCCACCUCGCUGAAGAUCUCCAAGACGGAGAAGCUUCUCCCACCGGAGCAGGUCCCUUUCUAGAGAUAGAAGGAGAGAGAGAUCACUGUCCCGGGAGAGAUAUCACAAGCCGUCCUGAUCUUUCUCUAGGUCUCGUAGCCGAUCUAGGUCAAAUGAAAGGAAAUAGAAGACCAAUUUGCAAGAGGAGUGGUGUGCAGGAAAUAACUUUAUUUGACAGGAGUAUGUACAGAAAAUUCAAGUUUUGUUUGAGACUUCAUAAGCUUGGUGCAUUUUUAAAAUGUUUUAGCUGUUCACAUUUGUUUGUCUGUUGGAACAGUGACACAAAGGUGUAAUUCUCUAUGGUUUGAAAUGGAUCAUAUGAGGCAUGUAAUAUCAAGAAUUAUUACUUUACAAUGUUCCCUUAAGCAAAAUUUAAUUUGCUUUGAAUUUUAGUCUUGCAUAGGCUGAUAAUAAACCUCUUAACUCCUGCCCAGCUAAAGUCAAUAUUUAACAAUAUGGAAAUAAAAACUGGCAAAAAUUGGAAGAUUUUUUUCAACAUAGCUGGGAUAUGGUAUGCAGCUGUAGUUAAGCAGUUUUUAAAAGCUGCUGUGAACUCAAAAGCUAGCUGGAAAAAUUAAACCUUCACCCUUAAACUAGAUUAGAGGUUUAAAAAUCCCACUAGUCUUCACACUGGACGAAAGGUUGUCCAGUUGGUGUAGAAUCUAAGAAGUUUCAAGGAAGUUAGUUUACUUUUGCUUUAGGUUGUAAGUUCCUUCUAUGAUUGCUGUAUAUGAAUACAUAGCUCUUUGUAACGUUCUUUAUUUGGAAAUCUGAGACUACUCAAGAUAACAAAUGUCCUGCCAGUUUAAGGGUACAUUGUAGAGCUGAACUGAGUUACUGUGCAAGAUGCUUUUUUUAUGCUGUCAUUUGUAAUACGUUUUGUGAGAAUCCUUGGGAUUAAAGUUUUGGUUACAAAAAAAAAAAAAAAAA